Molecule: microRNA precursor, 249 nt
Filed under: Paramuricea clavata
Lineage: Eukaryota; Metazoa; Cnidaria; Anthozoa; Malacalcyonacea; Plexauridae
Source: RNAcentral
GACGUCGAUAUUCGACGUCAUAAACACGAUCAACUUUGGUGUUUAUGACGUCGAUAUUCGACAUCAUAAACACGAUCAAAUUUGGUGUUUAUGACGUCGAUAUUCGACGUCAUAAACACCAUCAAGUUUGGUGUUGAUGACGUCGAUAAUCGACGUGAUAAACACGAUCAACUUUGGUGUUUAUGACGUCGAUAUUCGACGUCAUAAACACCAUCAACUUUGGUGUUUAUGACGUCGAUAUUCGACGUC